RNAcentral lists this ribosomal RNA (676 nucleotides) under uncultured bacterium. RNAcentral describes it as "bacterial SSU rRNA". It matches the Rfam family "Bacterial small subunit ribosomal RNA", at positions 8 to 694 of the family's 1533-position model. The record is from RNAcentral.
AGAGUUUGAUCCUGGCUCAGGACGAACGCUGGCGGUGUGCUUCACACAUGCAAGUCGAGCGAAUGAAGUAGGUAGCUUGCUACUUAUGGAUUUAGCGGCGGACGGGUGAGUAAUAUAUAGGAAUCUGCCUUAGAGCGGGGAACAACAGACCGAAAGGUUUGCUAAUGCCCCAUAGGUAUGCAGUCUUCGGAUUGUAUAUUAAAGGAGUAAUCCACUCUAAGAUGAGCCUGUAUCCGAUUAGCUAGUUGGUGGGGUAAAGGCCCACCAAGGCUACGAUCGGUAGUUGGUCUGAGAGGAUGAUCAGCCACAAUGGGACUGAGACACGGCCCAUACUCCUACGGGAGGCAGCAGUGGGGAAUUUUACACAAUGGGGGAAACCCUGAUGUAGCGACACCGCGUGAACGAAGAAGCCUUUUGGGGUGUAAAGUUCUGUCGGCUGGAACGAAAAAAAUGACGGUACCAGCAAAGGAAGCAUCGGCUAACUACGUGCCAGCAGCCGCGGUAAGACGUAGGAUGCAAGCGUUGUCCGGAUUUAUUGGGCGUAAAGAGUUCGUAGGCGGUUAUUUAAGUCUGAUGUUAAAUACUGUGGCCCAACCACAGAACUGCAUUGGAUACUGGAUGACUUGAGUGCGGUAGAGGCAAGUGGAAUUCCCAGUGUAGCGGUGAAAUGCGUAGA